Molecule: long non-coding RNA, 90 nt
Organism: Otolemur garnettii (small-eared galago)
Lineage: Eukaryota; Metazoa; Chordata; Mammalia; Primates; Galagidae
Exons: 3
Source: RefSeq, a predicted model, not a curated record
GGCUUGGUGCCUCAGCAAUUUGGAAGGCUGGGGUGGAUGGGUUGCAUGAGCUCAGGAGUUUGGAGACCAGCCUGAGCAAGAGUGUGACCC